CACAUUUCUUCUCUGCUGUCUAAAGCUGUGGGUAGGAACUGUCUCCUAUCGUGUUUCACAAGGCACAAAUCAAGUGCCCCUGCCCUGGAGUCCUGCUGCAUGUGGCCUGGGGCAAGAGAGUCCUGAGUAUCAGGAAGCAGCAGCUGCGUGUCCUCGCCCCAACAACCAGUCUCAAAUCAGUGGAGAUCGAUUUUCAAGCCAGUGCCAUCCUAAGGAAGGUGCUGGUGUCUCUGUGCUGCUAAGGAGCAUCUCCACAUGCCAGAGCUGCAGCUCUACAGGGUGGGUAGGGGUGAGCUGGGGGAGGGAGUGAUGUCAUCAUGGUUCCAUGUAACCACUUGCUCUCUCCUGCCUUCAACUUGCUGGAUUGUGAUAGAAUAGUUUCAGGUGAUUAAUAACACACAUGUAGUCUAGCUGUUCUUGUUAUGCUACUAUUACCCUGGAGUAUGACAAACUCUUAGUAGUUUGACAGGUUGUGUCUGUCCCUGCCUCGUGUAGGAUCUAGAAUAAAGUGAAUGAACUAACUGCUCCUGGCCUUCCUGAUGAUUUCUCAGGUCCGCCUGGGGCGCCUGUGUCCUUCUGUUGGGUUAAAUAGUGGUUAUGACACUUGGGGACAUGGUUUAGUCAUAAACAUGGCAGUGUUGGGUUAACAGUUGGGCUCUAUGAACUUAGAGGUCUUUUCCAGCCUAAAUAAUUCUGUAAUUCUAAGCAGCAAUAAAGACUGGUGUUGUGAGAGGCAGCUGGAGGUAAAGCAGAAAUUGGCCCUGCCAUGUCUUGCACACAAAGUAGUGUCAUAGAGGUGACUCAGAGUAUUAACUGGCUUAACCCUUUGCAGCAGCUCUGCAAACCAGUGGUACAGGGUGACUGUGGCUGCAGAAGGAGUGCCCAGGACCUUCCUGGCUGUGGUUACUGCAGGCAGGGAUGGAACUGGACUCUGACCUGCCAGGAGAGCAGGCAGGCACCAGGGGACCUUUGAGUUCUGCCAGCCUGCUUGUUUCAUGAUCCUUCAACUCAGCCCUUUGUGCCCAACCUGAAGAAAUGAAGGUAGUAUGGGGUGGAGCUGAGUUGCUCUCUGCCAUCGCCUUGCUGUGGAAUGCAACAAGGAGACAUGACAUGGGGUGGCACACCCCAUGUUCGGGGGGAGGUCGGGUUGGGUGCUUUUGGGUGUAAUGGCCUCACUCCUGCUG
RNAcentral lists this long non-coding RNA (1184 nucleotides) under Serinus canaria (Common canary). RNAcentral describes it as "lncRNA (ENSSCAG00000008747.1)". The record is from RNAcentral. Lineage: Eukaryota; Metazoa; Chordata; Aves; Passeriformes; Fringillidae.